AUCAGCAAUGCCGCGUAAGUGAUGAAGGCCUUAGGGUUGUAAAGCUCUUUUACCCGGGAUGAUAAUGACAGUACCGGGAGAAUAAGCCCCGGCUAACUCCGUGCCAGCAGCCGCGGUAAU
Molecule: ribosomal RNA, 120 nt
Filed under: uncultured soil bacterium
Lineage: Bacteria
Description: partial 16S ribosomal RNA
Rfam family: Bacterial small subunit ribosomal RNA
Source: RNAcentral